CAACCAAAAACUUUAACGAUGUGGGACGAACUAAUUGAGACCGUUGGAAAAACAAUAUGUGAAAUUCUUCCACAAAAUCCUAUUAUAAUAGGAACACGUCUAAAAGUUGUUUCACACAAUGGUAUAUCUUUAUCAUCCAAGCAACAAAGUUCAUUUAUCAUCAACCUUACGAACAUUCCACAAAUAAAUGAGCUUCGUCAAUGGUAAACUAAUUUAUACUUAUCUUUUAUAAAUUAUUUCUUAUUACACCUAUCCAUAAAUAAUUCUUACAUAUCUAAUUAUUUUGUCCUAUAAGUUAAUAGGAGCAUUAACAAUAAAGAAUACCUAUCUGCCAAUAUCAAUGAGAAGAGACUCUUCCAAACCCAAACUGCUCUAAGAACUCUUCAAUAUAAUAAUAUCAUUACUAUUAAUGAUAUUCAAAAUCUUCCACAAGAGGUAUGUAAAAAUAUGUUUAUUUAAGUUUUAAUUAACUGAUUAGUUUCUUUUCUCAAUGUUUAUAAUUAUUUUUUGUUCUACAUAAUAUUAUAUACUUAAUUUCAAUAACCAUAUCAUGCUUCAUUAGCAAACUACUUUUUGGAUCAAUGCAUCAAUCUCCAUCAAAAAUUUAAGACAACCCUUCUGGUACAUGGCUUGCACAAAAUACCGUCAAAAAGCAGAUCUUGACAAUGAAACAUCAUGUUUUAAAUGCUACGGAUACAAGAAAUCAUCUGUUGAGAAAAUUCCAAGGUUUAUAUGAACUUAAUUUAACACAAAUCUUAUUAUCAUAAUUUGCUACUUAAAUAAAUUAUUUUGCAUCUGAAUAUAUUAGAUGUCGCUUUCACGCUCAACUAACAGACCACGCAGGCUCACUAAUAGUGACAUUCUUCGGCGAAAAUGCAGAAAAGUUUUUAAAUUAUGCCGCAGAAGAGCUUAUUCACAUGCUAAAUGUAAAUUCUACUACUUAAACUCGUUCACUUCAUUAACAUACAUUAAUAAUACUAUCUUCCUCAAUGAUGCUUUUAAUAACAGGAUCAAAAUAUUGUUGGGUUUUAUGCCCUAAAUAAAACUCAUUUCAAUAUAAUCAGAUUUACUUAUUAAUAUAGAUCAGAAAUAACAUUUAAUGUUGCAUGGUUCACAUGAUUUAUUUCAUGAUUAUUUACAUAAUGUAUGAAUUCUAUUUAAGUCCAGAACAUAUCAAUUUGUUAAUGAUUAUAGUGUUGUCAACACAGUGGAAUAUAACCUUAAUUAUAUGUUCGAAAGUUUAUUCCCUGAUUUGUCAGUUUACUGGAUUUAGACUGACAUCAUUAUCAGCAAUAGGCAUUCUUACACCUUGGAUAAGUGUUAUAUCCUUUCCAGGACAUUGGCAAAUUUUACCAGCAUCAGAUGUAUGGAGUAUACAUCGGAAGGGACCGAUAUUGAACUUUGAUUAGAUAUAUUAGAAUUUACCGUAAUAUCUAUUCAAUUCAAUAUCACCUGUUGAUCCUAGAUCAAAUGAUCUUAAUCCUGAUAUGAUUAGGUUCAAUCUCGAGAGUGUUAUUCGUGUUCUUUGAUUUGUUAGUUAAGCCUACUUUUGGGUCAGGGUGAUACGUACAUUUUGGGAACACGGUAGUGCAAUUGAGUGGGAGUGCUAACAUAAAUAUGGAAUCUAUAGCUUCUAUCUGGCGAAUAGAAAGUAAAGGAUGAUUUCUUUUGAGCUUAACCAAACGAAAAUAAAUGGUGGAGAUCUCAUUUCACUUAGCUGAAAUAUCAUUUAUACAAGGUUAAGUGUUUUAAGGAUAAAAUACAUUGUAGGGUGUUGCGGUAAUUUAAUCUCUUUACAGUGUAAAUCAUCUAUAUAGAGGAUCAUUGAUCACAUUAGGGUUAUAACAAUAGAUAACUAAUGACGUGUCUAUAUCGUGGAACAUAUAGAGCGUUCUAUAUACUGAGAGUGCAAUUCUAAGUUCUAUGCGUGGAUUCAACGAAGAAUUAAUAAGUCAGUGAAUUUAAGAUAUAAAUUCUUGAUCUACUUAUUGGAAGCUCGGAUAUAUAGACCCAUGGUCCCCAUACUAGUUGAGACCAUACUGCUUGUAAGACUCAGUUAAUUGAUUUUGAUUAAUCAAUUAUAAUUCUAAAGUUAGACUAUGUCUAGUUUAUGAAUUUUCACUAAGCAAGGGCGAAAUUGUAAAGAAAAGAGAAUUCUAGGUUUAUUUAUUAAUUAAGAGACUUUAUAUGUCUAAUUAAUAAAUGUUAAAUGACAAUAUUAUUUAAUAAUUAAUUUUUUGUUAUUAAAUAAUUAGAAUUGGUAUUUAAAUGGUUGAAUUUUGGAAAAUUAGCGUUUUUGAGAAAAAGAGAUGCAAGAAUGAUAAAACAGCAAAAUUGCAUAAGUGAGGCCCAUUAUCCAAAGCCCAUGGCCGGCCACACUUAUAGGGUUUUAUCAUUUAUUUUUUCAUUAUUUUAAUGCCAAAUAAUUCUAACCUAAACCUAGGUGGUUACCUAUAAAUAGAUAGUGAUGGCUCUCAUUCACACUUGAAAUUCUGUCAGAUGAAAUCUGAGCCUCUAUCUUUUCUCUGUAAGCCGAACCUCUUCCUUUCUCUUUUCUUCUCUAAAUUUUCGAAAUCCUUGAGUGAAUGAGUGAGUGCCCACACACAUCAAGUGGUAUCUCAAUCAUAGUGUGUAAGACUGUAGAAAACCAUCCAACAAGAAGGAGAAUCAGCAUCAAAGGAAGGAGAGAAAGAGAUCCAGGUUCAGAUAUUGAUAAUGCUCUGCUAUAGAAAGGAAUCAAGGGCUAGAUAUCUAAACGGAAGGAGUCAUUAUAUUCCGCUGCACCCAAUAUUUUUGGUGACCUUUGCUCGGUGUUUGGCAAACAUUACUCCUCGUUAUAUUAGAAGCAAUAUGGUGAGUGACAGAAGCUGGAUGACUUCAAACAGACGAUCUGUAGAGUUUCGUAGGGGUGUGGAUGAGUUUGUUGGAGUUGCUCGAAUGCAAAUAAAUUCUGCUAGAGUUACACGAUGCACUUGCAUGAGAUGUCUAAAUGUGAACUUUGAAACUCCCGAUAAUAUUAGGGUACAUUUGUUUGUGCAUGGCAUCCAACAAUUGUACACGACCUGGUAUUUUCAUGGGGAGUCGUUCACGCAACCGACUAUAGAAAUAUUAGACAACGAAGAAGAAGAAAUAGCAGAUGUCAUGGCUGAUAUUUUAGAGAAGAUUCUAGUUUUAACGAUCCAAAUUCUACCACUGCUUCCUUUAAUGAGCCCCCUAUGAAUGGUGGUGGCAAGAGCUGAGUAAAAUGCGAAAAAUUGAGGUAACAUGAAGGUUCAAGGUGAAUGGGGAUCUAAGACCAUAAUUUCUACCAUUGUCAGCGGGGCUGAUCCCCAGACGGGGGAGCUUCCCAGUGUUGUGGAUACAUUUGCAAAGUUCCACUGCAAGAACAAUAAAUGGCGCGACGAGCACACACAACAACUGCAUGCCAAAAUGGUUGAGAUUCGUGACACUCAACCAACGCCAGCCGAUGCCCCCGCCAGUACAAUGUCGACCCCACCCAAUUUCGUGCAGAUACGCAUAUUAUGACACAGGCACUGGGUGAGCAGUCAAACCACUUAAGAGGACUGGGCCCGUUGCCAAGACUUAAGACGGGGGCAAAAAGAUCAACUCCUAAGCCAGGUGCAUCUAGGCAGCCCAGUGUCACUCAAAAGGAAUAUGAGGUACUGAAGCGAAGGGUGGAAGAACAAGAGGCACGGAACGAGUGGCAACAACAGAUGAUGAUGACUCAGAAUCAGAUCAUGAGUGCGUUCCAACAACAAAUGAUCCAAUUGGCCAACGCUGUUUAAGGAUUUAACAUGCCGGAUCUGCCUCCGAUUCCACCAUUUCAGCCUUCUGGCCAUGCAGCUGGUUCCUCCUCAUAGACUGCCCCUCCCGGUGAUGACGACGAUGAUGCUGUUGAUUUGUAGGUCUUUUUUAGUUUACAGUGUAGAUAAUAUUACUGUUUAUGAAUUCAUAAUACUUUUACUUAGUUUAUGACGUUUAAUAUAGUUUUGUAAUAACAUUAGAAAUGUUGGUUUUAUAAUAUAUUUGAUAUUAUAUUUAGUAUUA
Long non-coding RNA from Cannabis sativa, 4047 nucleotides. RefSeq lists it as uncharacterized. The record is from RefSeq and is a predicted model, not a curated record. Lineage: Eukaryota; Viridiplantae; Streptophyta; Magnoliopsida; Rosales; Cannabaceae. The transcript is spliced from 7 exons.